UGGCAGGUACAGCGGGAAGCCAGGCGGCGACGCCGAGCGGAACCCGAAAACCUGUCUCAGUUCGGAUCGGAGUCUGCAACCCGACUCCGUGAAGCUGGAUUCGCUAGUAAUCGCGCAUCAGCCAUGGCGCGGUGAAUACGUUCCCGGGCCUUGUACACACCGCCCGUCAAGCCAUGGAAGCCGGGGGUGCCUGAAGUGUGCAGCCGCAAGGAGCGCCCUAAGGUAAAACCGGUGACUGGGGCUAAGUCGUAACAAGGUACC
RNAcentral lists this ribosomal RNA (261 nucleotides) under uncultured bacterium. RNAcentral describes it as "partial 16S ribosomal RNA". It matches the Rfam family "Bacterial small subunit ribosomal RNA", at positions 1231 to 1500 of the family's 1533-position model. The record is from RNAcentral.